ACUCAGCAGGGUCUUUCCUAUGCUGACCCCUCCCUUAUCCUGCUCCCCUCAGAUCCGCCUCCACAGCCAGCUCUGCACCUGGAUCCCCCAUCUGGAGCAGUGAGCGAAGGGCUCCCCCUGCUCAUCACCUGUGUGGCACCCGAAGAUGCCGGCGAGAGGAGGUUUCAAUUCUACAAGGAUAGAACCGAGCUCGUCCUCGGAGACGUGGGGUCGGAGAUCAUCACCAUGGAGCCCGGCACCGGCUCUGUCAAUGUCUCUGUGCUCAGCAUCCCAUGGGCCAGUCCCGAGAGCACCGGGGAAUUCACCUGCGGGUAUGAGGAGAACAUGAGCGGAAGGUGGAUCCCGUCCCCCAGGAGCCGGGCUGUGAACGUCACUGUGACAGCGAAGGCUUCUCCAGGCUCCAUUCAGGCCUGGCCUCCGUGGAUCCCCCUGGUGGCCGGAUGUGUCGGUGCCGCAGCUCUUCUCCCCCUGCUGCUUCUCCUCAUCUGCCUCUGCAGGAGGAAGAAAGGUGGUGUCGCAGCAGAGACACAGCCCCCGCAUGUCAACAGACCCUCCGGGGCUGGCACAGCUCUGCAGGAAUGGAGCCGUGAAAGGCAGGUCCAGCCAGUGACCCACAACCAACCAGUGCGGCCCAAGAACCCUGGAGGGAAGCCCAUAGUGGGUCAAGACCCCCAGGAAAGGGACAAGAGAGAAGAGGAUGCAGAUGACAGGGGAGGGUGCAACUCCUUGGUAAUCAAUACCGUCUAUUCCACCCUGACUCCCCCUUGCACCGUGGCCCAGCAGAGAGGGAGAAAGUACUUCUCAGAGGCUGUAGUGUACAGCGAAAUCCCCUCCUGAUCACAGCUUCUGCGACAACCCCAGACCCAUCCCACCCCCACUGAGAACACCUCUCAUAAUGCCCCAUCCCCCCAACCUUACCUUCCCUGCAAAUAGCCACAAACAUCUUCCUGGUGUACUUUCAAUGUGAGGUGGGGGACAGGGGCUGGGAGCCAGGACUCCUGGGUUCUAUCCCCAGCUCUGGGAGGGGAGUAGGUUUAGUUUAUUAGAGCAGGUGGUGAGGCUGGGAGCCAUGGUCUGUGAAGGGAGUAGGUUAUAGCAGGGAGAGUAGUAAUUCCCAAUGCUUAGAUUAUUUUCAGUAUACGGGUUAGAGGAGGGAGUUUGGGUUUUAAUCUGUCAAAGACAAGUGUUUGCAGAACUAUGUGAAAUAGUCCAGAGGGGCCCCUACCCCUGCAUCUGUUCCAAUGCACAUUGCGCCCUUUUGUUGUGGGAAACCUUCUCUUACGAUGGGACCCCCUGGAUAUUAUUACUCUUGUUCCUUCGCCGUGGAGUUCUGGGUCUGUGUUUACAAAACUCCUUUAAACAAAAUGAAAUCACAUUGGUUUUCAUUAAGGGGUUAGAUAGAGGAGUGGCCUCUAUCUAUGUCACACAUACACAGAUCUCAUCCCCUCCCGUAAGGGGCAGAAGGGAGGGACACACACGGCUGGAGGACAGCCUGUGACCAAGAGAUCUGUGCAACAUCCCCAACAUCGGAAGAGCUUCCCAUACUGGGAAUGGGGGAUACGUUAAUCAAACCACUGAAAUGCAGCCAGCUCUGGGGUAAGGACUGACCACUCUUUAACACAGUUAGCGCUACCCCUCCAAAGGGAUCUUCACCUGGGGCUGAAAUGCAGCCACUUCCGGGGGAUGGUUUGACAGCAGUUUAGCAGCAUCAGGGCAAACACUGCAGAAGUGGAUCUCGCUCCCAGCACCAAAAUGCAGCCGCUUGUAAGGUGGAACAUGGCAGUUCUUGAAGAGCUCCCGGCAGAGCUAUUCUGGAGAGGGGGGCAUGGAGAAACCUGGGUCCAACUGAGGCUGCAAUUUGAGGGAGGCAAAAUCAGUUGUGAAAACGCCAAGGGAUCUGUGAUGACCACUACUGGUGAACGAAGGUGUAUUUCAUUUUAAACCAGACAGCACAGUGCACCCCAGUGCCAUGCUGGGGUAUUGGGGUCACCAUUGACUGCAGGGUAAGAACACCCCCUUCUGAGCCCCUGCCCUGCUCCCUACAGCACAACCCCUCCACAAGCCACACUCGGGGAUGGAGGUCAGCACCGACUCUGAAGGGACAGCGCCCCCUACAGGCUCCCCUGCCCUGCUCCCGGCAGUGCUUUAGAGAUCUCCUCUCUGAGCACUGACAUCACCCAUGUGUCUCUCCUAUACGAGGUGGGAUUGGACCACAGCACAGGAGGCUACACCAGUCUGCGUUGAUCCUGGGCUGCAUGGGGUCCACAGGAGGGUCAUAGACCGAACAGGGGAGUUCGAACUCACAGAGAUCUGAUGCAUUCCCCAAAUGGCCGGCUGGAAUGCUGUCCAUGAGUUUGCUUGAUUGCUCGCAGCAGAGAACUCAUCCGCUUUCCUACGACGGAAUCUCACCUGUUGUAUUGCCUGGAGGUGGCUUAUCAAGUGGCCCAAAGAGGAGGAUGCUGGAACGCAGAACUCCUGGGUUCGAUUUUCCCCCCCUCCACUCAGUCAUGUGCCUCAGUUUCCCAUAUUUAUAUAUUGAGGAUCAUGCUUCUCUUACACGGUGAUUGUCACAGCUGCAAACUGCGGUGAGAUGCUCAGAUCAAAGAUGUCGGGGGGCCACCAAAGGAUUAAAUUUCACCAUCCAUCGCCCUGUUCACACUGUGGAGAAACUAUUUCACUUCAGCUCCUUGAGGCAGGGCUACAAAGGCAGUGAUGGCGCAGCGCGGGGGAGGGGACGUCUAUUAAUCAUCUCUGUGACCGCAACUGUGCCAGCUGUUUCUCUGCGGCUGCGAGGCUUCCUGCGGUGGCUGGCUCCCCUGGGCUGCUGCGCUCUGCGGUUUCCAAGGCCAGGGCAGUGGCUGGGUUGCUAUUGGCACCCGCCCCAAUGCACCUGGCCUGUGUGUCCUGCCCUCCGUGUGAUUAAGGGGUCGACACACACCCCACGCUGGGUCCCCUUCCUGCUCAUAGACACACACACACACACCCUGCCAUGGGUACUCCAUUAGCAUCCCCGGCCCCCCGCAACCUGCGUAGCCAGCAUGGAGCGGCAGGUCUGUGUGAUCCUGUACACUGACCAUCCCCAGCUCAAGACCUGGCCAGCCAGAGCCAGAAGCAGCCAAACCAGGGUCCUCUGGACAUACCGAGAUCUUCCUGCAGUUUUCAAAUGAGCUGACGGGACAUUUGCUCCAAGCCACCUCUCCCUAUAGUCUCUUCCCCACCACUCCGCACCUGCCCCUUCUCCCCAGCCCUCUCACUCCCUUUAGCUGAUCCCCUCCUUGCUAAACCCACCAUCACCCCAAAAUAGCCAUGCCGUCAGCUGCCAUCCCAUUGAUCUCUCCGCUCGGGGUGUCCUACCCCUUCCCCCGCCCUGUGGCCACCUGGUCUAUUUCAAUCCAUGGCCGGUCCUUAGAGCCAGCUGUUACCAGAUUUGCCCAUUUGUCACGGAGUGUCGGGGGACACAAGGCCCUGCACCCCCGGCUUCCUGCGAUUCACCAUGACUCUCAGCCAGCCAGUAAAGCCGAAGGUUUAUUUAGACGACAGAAAUACAGUCCAAGACAGGUCUUGCAGGCACAGACAGACAACAGGACCCCCCUCAGUUAGGUCCAUCUUUGGGUCCCAAGGCACCCCAGCCCCCUUGGGAGGUCAGAGCCCCGUCUGCCUCCCAGCCAUCUCCCCAGCCAGCUCCUGAAACUCUCCCUUCAGCAACCCCUCCCACAGCCUUUGUUCAGUUUCCCGGGCAAAGGUGUCACCUGGCCUCUAACCCCUUCCUGGGUUCUCAUGGUACAUGCUCAGGUAUUCUCCCUCAGUCAGUCUCCCAUCCCCCAAUGCAGACUAUCCCAGCCACACUCCCCUGUCAGCAUUCACAGACCACAGUAAGAACAGUCCCAGUUCAUCACACCAUUACUUUGGAGUAUGCUUAUUUAUUAGGGUUACUCUUCUGGGGGGCGGGUGUGUAAUUCUAUCAAUAUACAGCUUGUGUCACUUGUGUUUUCAUAUGGAGCUCUACUUCUUCCUUCUGCAAGUCCCCUCCCAAUGGAGCGAUCCUGCAGGACCUAGAGUCCCCAGGGCUGGGUGUGUAUGUACACACACACACACAAGUCUGAGCUGACCAGGUCAAUCAGCACUUUCAAACUGCCACCCUUAUGUGCCCCUGGACUCAGUAGUCUGGGUCAAGGAGCACUUCCAAGCUGCCACCCUCGUAUAUCCCAGGUUCAGCACGUCCCUAUCCCCACUCUCACAUUACAGUUGUUCUGGCAGUAACCCACUUGAUGAGCAAACCCUACAGGAUUUUGGGUGCUGCCGGGAUCUUUAGCUUAGGUAAGAGAAGCGUUGCUGCAGAGCAAAUGAGGAAGCCAAAAACGCAAAAGAGUAAAGUUCAGAGAGGGAGAGGCAGCCAGCUUAACCAUAGAAGUUAUUUAUUGAAUAAUCGUGAUAACUACACAAGGAGAGCCUAAACCCACAUAACAGUUACAUUAUUAUCGGUCACAAAAGUCAUAUAUACAAAACUCUACCUGAUCACACAAGUCAGGGUUAGAAAGUUAUACCUGAGGUAGAAAAGAGAGAGAGAGAGAGAGAGAGAGAGAGAGAUCUCACCACUCCAUGAGGCUUGAACUGGUCGGGGUUCCCAGGUCAUGGUGGUAGCUCAGGGUCCUCAGUGCUGGAGACAGGCAGAUCAGUCCGGAAAAGAUGUAAUCCCAGUGGAACUGAUGCAGAGUUUGGAUCCAGGCAUCAGAGCACUUACUGGAGUGUGGGUAGGGGUUUUUGUAGAGAAAAUACAAUGGUUCAAGGGAGACACUAGAUUUGUUUAUGGGUAAACUGAUGACUCAAGGGUUUUCUUUAGGCCAGACAAUAGGAGCUGAUCGCUCUUGGUUAUGGGUGAUGUUCCUUCAGGGAGCUCACAAUGCAACUAGGCUGCUUCAGUAUUUGGAUAUCAAUCAAGGAUUCAUUACUAGAAUUGGUCUGAUAACUGCAGAGCUGGGUGUGUGCAGGCGUUGGGUUCAUUAACAUCUGGAGCAGAGAUCCCCCAUCAUGCAGUGCGUCCCUGCUUUUCUGGUCCCAGAGUUCAGUGUGGUUCUCUGUUCUCCAUUCAUGCAGAUGAGGCUAAGGGAGUUGCCUUUGUUCUUGUCACCCUUGUCAGGAGGGGUCUAGGUGCGCCUCCCAAUGCCCCUCACUGCUCUCUGCAAGUCUUUUCUCUGAUCAGUUUUGGUUCAAACAGAGGCUGGUGGGGCAGGGAGAUCUCUCAUGAGUCAGACAGGCUGGAUACUGUGCCCUGGUUCCCUAACAACACAGAGCUGACUGGUAUCACAGCUGAAAUAAAAAGAACAGGAGUACUUGUGGCA
This 5339-nucleotide long non-coding RNA is filed under the name Chrysemys picta bellii (western painted turtle). RNAcentral's name for it is "lncRNA (ENSCPBG00000018772.1)". Lineage: Eukaryota; Metazoa; Chordata; Testudines; Emydidae. The record is from RNAcentral.